Molecule: non-coding RNA, 146 nt
Filed under: Oesophagostomum dentatum (nodular worm)
Lineage: Eukaryota; Metazoa; Nematoda; Chromadorea; Rhabditida; Strongylidae
Description: Eukaryotic large subunit ribosomal RNA
Rfam family: Eukaryotic large subunit ribosomal RNA
Source: Rfam by way of RNAcentral
AAGGUGCACCAUAUAUCGAGACUGUUACGGCUGAUAUCGAGCAGGACAGUGGCUAUGGAAGUCCAUACUCGCUAAGGAGUAUGUGGCAACUCACCUGCCGAAUCAACUAGCCCUGAAAAUAGAUGGCGCUUAACCGAGAGACCUAU